UGCAGUCGAGGGGCAUCGGGAGUAGCAAUACUUGCCGGCGACCGGCGCAAGGGUGCGUAACGCGUGAGCAACAUGCCCGUAUCAGGGGGAUAAUCCAUGGAAACGUGGUCUAAUACCCCAUAGUAAUUAUGUAAGGCAUCUUAUAUAAUUUAAAGCUUUGGUGGAUACGGAUUGGCUCGCGUGACAUUAGCUGGAUGGUAAGGUAACGGCUUACCAUGGCUACGAUGUCUAGGGGUUCUGAGAGGAAGGUCCCCCACACUGGAACUGAGACACGGUCCAGACUCCUACGGGAGGCAGCAGUGAGGAAUAUUGGACAAUGGAUGGAAAUCUGAUCCAGCCAUGCCGCGUGCAGGAAGACGGCCCUAUGGGUUGUAAACUGCUUUUGUAUGGGAGCAAUAAGGGCUACGUGUAGUCCGAUGAGAGUACCAUACGAAUAAGCACCGGCUAACUCCGUGCCAGCAGCCGCGGUAAUACGGAGGGUGCAAGCGUUAUCCGGAUUUAUUGGGUUUAAAGGGUGCGUAGGCGGUUUGAUAAGUCAGCGGUGAAAUAUUUCAGCUUAACUGGAAGGGUGCCGUUGAUACUGUCGAGCUUGAAUUUAGUUGCUGUGGGUGGAAUGUGUGGUGUAGCGGUGAAAUGCAUAGAUAUCACACAGAAUAUCGAUUGCGAAGGCAGCUCACAAAGCUAAUAUUGACGCUGAUGCACGAAAGUGUGGGGAUCAAACAGGAUUAGAUACCCUGGUAGUCCACACUGUAAACGAUGAUAACUCGCUGUCGGCGAUACAUAGUCGGUGGCCAAGCGAAAGC
Molecule: ribosomal RNA, 803 nt
Filed under: uncultured bacterium
Lineage: Bacteria
Description: bacterial SSU rRNA
Rfam family: Bacterial small subunit ribosomal RNA
Source: RNAcentral